CGAUCCGCCGCGGCUGGGCCCGGGCCUCGGCUCGGCUCAACGCGCGCCGCGGGUGCGCUCGAACGGAAACCCCGGGAAUCCCGGCGAGCGUGGCGGAGGGGGUGGGUACGGACCUGUAAUGGCGGCGGCGGCGGCGGGGCCGGGGAGGGGGGCGACGGCGACGGCGACGCUAGGGUUGGGGCGGAUCUGGGGGCGGCGGUGCGGGGCGGGGGAUCGGAGUGGAGUGGGGGUGNGGGGACGGGGAC
RNAcentral lists this long non-coding RNA (245 nucleotides) under Hordeum vulgare. RNAcentral describes it as "long non-coding RNA (HVUL_LNC006339)". The record is from RNAcentral. Lineage: Eukaryota; Viridiplantae; Streptophyta; Magnoliopsida; Poales; Poaceae.